Molecule: long non-coding RNA, 178 nt
Organism: Sphaeramia orbicularis (orbiculate cardinalfish)
Lineage: Eukaryota; Metazoa; Chordata; Actinopteri; Kurtiformes; Apogonidae
Exons: 3
Source: RefSeq, a predicted model, not a curated record
CAAGGAGAUCAGAGAGACCACAGGUGCCCAGGUGCAGGUGGCAGGAGACCUGCUCCCCAACUCCACAGAGAGAGAAGUGACGAUAUCAGGGAGUCAGGACGCCAUCAUCCAGUGUGUGAAACUCAUCUGCACUGUGAUCCUGGAGUCUCCGCCAAAGGGAGCCACUAUUCCAUAUCGA